RNA transcript from Mytilus californianus (California mussel), 1560 nucleotides. It is a transcript of the gene named ubiquitin-conjugating enzyme E2 T-like, with no coding region annotated. NCBI's taxonomy places the organism in Eukaryota, Metazoa, Mollusca, Bivalvia, Mytilida, Mytilidae. The transcript is spliced from 7 exons. The record is from RefSeq and is a predicted model, not a curated record.
GUUAUAAAUAAUUGAACUUCCGGUAAAAAAAUAGCGGGUUGUUUGAUUUUUGCAAUUUUUACGAAAACUCAACAAUAUGCAAAGAUCAGGGAGAAUGAAAAAGGAACUAGAAAUGUUAUCUAAAUCUCCACCAUAUGGAAUAUCCUGCUGGUCCAAGGAUGAAAGGAUAGAUCUGUUACAAGCGCAAAUUCUAGGUGGAGAGGGGACGCCUUACCAUAAUGGUAUUUUUACACUGGAGAUCCAGAUUCCUGAAAGGUAUCCUUUUGAACCCCCGAAAGUUCGGUUUGUGACCCCUAUCUACCAUCCCAAUAUAGAUACAGGGGGAAGAAUUUGUCUAGAUACAUUGAAAAUGCCUCCCAAGGGGGCAUGGAAGCCAUGUUUAAACAUCAGUACAGUGUUAACCAGUAUACAGUUAUUAAUGGCAGAACCAAAUCCUGAAGAUCCACUGAUGGCUGAUAUUUCUAAUGAAUAUAAAUACAACAAGACCUUGUAUGUAGAGAAUGCAAAACAGUGGACUAAAAAUCAUGCUGUCGAGAAAAAUGUCAGUGAAGAAAAUCCAAUGAAAGCUAAAUCAGUCACAGACACAGGAGUAAAGUGUACUCAACCCAUGUGUGAUGUUACCAACAAAAAAGCAAGAGAUUCUUGACAAUGCUGUUGGAUGUUGACUUCAAUUUUAUAAUUGCCAUCUACUGUGAUGUGAUCACUGGUGAUCAUACCUGUGUUGGACAUAGGACACUUAAAAAAGUCUUGCAUCUAUAUUGCUACAUAUAUAUGUCAUUGAAAUAAGGUGUAUACAAAUAUCUUUUUAAAUUUGAACAAUGUUUUUAAAGCCUAUGGACUUGAAUAAUUCAUAGAUGUCAAGUCUUACUUUUGUGGCUGUCCCUUAUACAUUCAUGAAAUUAAUUAUAAAAAAAAUGAUUCCAAGAAAAGCUGUCAAUAGAAGUUUGUUCAAGACUGUGGAAUCAUUAUUAUUCAUUGGAUACCAAUUUUCAUGGAUAUUUGAACCACGAAAUUUUAAUGUUCAUCAAAUGACAAAUUUUCUAUAGGCUUGUAUGCAGACUUCGCCAAAAAAAUGAAAUUAGACAUCCAUGAACUUGAAAGUUUUCUUUAAUCCACGAAAAAUUGGUACCCAUGAAAAUAAAUGAAUCCAAAGUAUACAUGUAUUAGUGCUGUAAAAACUUUUUGUUUAUUUUUGUUAUUGGGUUGCUUUCAUUUUAACAUUAUCAAAUACCCUAAUUCUCUUGUUAAUCUUUGAAAAUUGUAUAUUUCUGUUGUUUUGAACUAUUUAUGAUCAUUCCUGUGUAAGGAGAGAAUGUUCUGUAUAAAGGGAGUUAAUCAUCUUUGACAUUUGAUGUAAUGAGCUAUUUUUAAUCCUGUAUUAGGAGAGAAUGUUCUGUACAAAGGGAGUUAAUCAUCUUUGACAUUUGAUGUAAUGAGCUAUUUUUAAUCCUGUAUUAGGAGAGAAUGUUCUGUACAAAGGUAGACGACUUUAUUUUUGUAUUAAACUAGACAUGCUAGAAAUAAAUGAAUAUUGUGCCAAAUUAAACACUGAAAAAGAAA